Molecule: long non-coding RNA, 4069 nt
Organism: Astyanax mexicanus (Mexican tetra)
Lineage: Eukaryota; Metazoa; Chordata; Actinopteri; Characiformes; Acestrorhamphidae
Exons: 2
Source: RefSeq, a predicted model, not a curated record
UGUAAUAGCUGAGUCGACCGGGUGCUGACUCACUAUUGCUCACGUCCAGACUGCCACUUCUCCAGAACAAAGACUUGGUUCCAGACUUUGUUCUUGUGCGGAGAAAUUUUUACUCUUUUACUCUACACAUCUGUACACUAAUCUCUCUCAAAAAGGUUUUGAUCAAGGUAAAGUUAAGGUAGAGCUUGUGAACUGUGAGCGUCUUAAUGUUCUUAGUGUCUUUAGAUGGGUAAUAAAAUCAUGUAUAAAUUAUGAUGAAGUAAUGUUUUUUUUAAACAUAUUUUUUCUUGUUUACUUGUAUCAGAGGUGUCUAAGACAGUAUGAUUGGUUAAUAAUUAGAUGUUUCAGCCAUUGACCACAGACAUGCUUGUACUCCUCCAGUGUGUGAAAUUUACUGUCUUUCUCAAAAUGUAGAAAUGAAAGUUCUAAGAAAACCACACGACACAUGACGAUAGGAGGUAAAACAAAGGGUUCGAUGUGUCACAUUAGACGAUAUGAAUAGAUGUUAACGUCACAGGAAGAUGAACAAGGACUUAUUGUCUAAUUGUUUACCAAGCUUUAUAGAGAAUGUUACCUCAGGUUUUUAUUACUUUUUAGAUUUGUUAAAUUUUGUUGAAUGCUAAACGACUGUGAGGGGCCAUGCCAUACCAAUUUUGUGUGUGUGUGUGUGUGUCUGUGUGUGUUCGUGUGUGUGUGGUGUUUGUGUGAGUGAGAGAGAGACUGUGUGUGUGGGGGGGCAUCGAGGAAGGGGGUGGGGGGCGGCUACUUGGUGGCUAAAUCUCAUAAAAGGGUUUUCCUAAUAUGGGCUGUCUCUUCAAAGACUCCUCCUCUGCCCUGUUAGUGGGUGGGACGUUGGACUCUCCUUCAGCCAGUGAUGACACAGCUACGACUCACUUCCCCAUUAAUUGGCUGAAACCAGUUCUUACAGGAACCGCCAGUGAUAAAUGUGAGAGUUCUCAGAAAUCAUUCAUUUCUUCCUUCUCCUGAGCCGAGGGACACUGCGGGCAGCGUGGAUGCUUCUUUGUUUUAGCCUUGUACCUGAGGUCACUCAAAUUUUUUUUUUUUUUAGUUUUUUUUUCCUUUUUCUGCUCUUUUUUCAUAGAGUUUCUCUCUGUAUUCAUGAAGGGUUUAGCAGUGUUCUGCCUCAUAUUCUGUCUCUCUCUCUCUCUCUGAAGGAGACUCUUCUGCCCUGUAGUAUUGAUGAGUAGUAAUUGUAUGUACCCCCUCCUCCCUGUACAGGGUUGUUUCCCUGUUCGGCACCUCUUCAAGGAGUAUCCUGAGGAUGGGAGGCGCAGCAGCAUCGUACCGGAGAAACCUCGCCGGCUGAAAAAAACACUGGCUCUUCUGGACCUCCGAGAACUGGAUACAUUAAGGGUUUGUUUUUUGUCUGCUUCAUCAUACACUACUACUACCUUAAACACAUCCAUCAGCAGAAAUACUCUGAGGACAAUAUUAAGUGAGGGAACUUGAGUGUAGAUGCAUGAAUGUUGAUUUGAUUUACCUAGAUGUCUUCGAUGUUUCCACAUAUUUAUGGGUUUUUAUGCCCUUCAUUUAGCAUUUCUGACUCUUAUCAGAAGCUAACUCAUAUGUCUAGUAUAGUCAAUGCGGUAAGUAAGGUUGUGGAGCGAUAUCUUAGAUUUAGUGGCAGUCUAGUGUAGUGUGACGUGUCAGGAAGUGAACAUCAGCAUAUUUUAAAAGUCCUUUGAUCUCUAAGCAAGCCUUAUUCAUGCCUUAAGAUACAACACAUAUGUGUGUUUGUAUACUAUAUAUGCCAGAUUACUACAUACAGCAUUGUGAAAUAUUUAUGCCUGGAUUUAUUAGAUAUGUAAGAGGAGCUUACCAGGAAUGUAAUAUAAUUUAAUUUUGGAUUAUUUUAACUUACUUACUUGUGAGUACAUUACAGACUUUUAUGUCCUUCCAGUGGUGUUUUUGUAAAUGCAGUUUAGCAUAUUUUUUAAAUCUUGUUUAGCAUAUAAUGUGUCGACAAAGUACUCGCAGAUCUAACUGCACAUUUUAUUAAAGAUCUCAGGUAGAGGGUUUGGUGCAUAUUUGACUUUAAUGGUCUGUGGUAGAUUAUAUGCUUAAACUGUAAUUUUUUAUUGUGAGUUUAAAACAAUCCCAGACUGUAUACAUACUCAUAAUGUUGCCUUUGUCUGAAGUCAUUUUUUUGUUUCUAGAGGGAGAACGAGAGCAAAUCAGUCAGACCAGAACUGUGUAACCAGAUGCAACAAUACACUGAAUUAGAUUAAGGUGUGUGUGUGUGUGUGUGUGUUUGCGCACAUAUGUGCGUGGGUGGUUGCUUGCUUGCUUGCCAUUAGUGUGUAGUUCCAUUUCUCACAUAUUCUUUACAUCCUCAGUGAGGGUUUUCUCUGAAAUACUUCCUGCCUACAAUAGUUUUCACUUACGCAGAACAGUCAUAUCUGACUGGGCCGUACUGCUAGUGCUGAUGGGACUAGCUGAUAGUAUGUCAGUAACACAGAGAACAGUUUCUGCAGGUCUGUAGGUACUGUCAGUAGUGCAAUUUAUUUAGAAGUUUAUAAUCUAAGCACAUUCCUUUUUUGUCAUGUUUAUUAACACAGGCCCACACUUAAAAUAGGGUUGUGUCAUUGUUUAUUCAUGCAUUCUCUAUAGUCAGUUUGUGACAAAACCUCAUUGAUGGGUUUCUUUCUUUUUUUUUUCAUUUUUUAACUGCUUGUGAAAUGUUUUUUCCCCUCCUCUGUGCCUUUUUGUAACACUGCCCUGGUAUGCUACCCUGGACGCUUCAGGCGUAUAAAAAAUGGAACAGUGUGGAGUUUCUUUGCCGUUACCUUAACUGAACCCUGGAUUGAACUCGAUGCACUGUGCUGCUGGCAGCGAGGAUGAGAGAGAGGGAGCGAGAGGGAACGGAAGAGACAGGCGAAAGGCUAGACUGAGCUCAGCUAGUGCCCACACACACACACAGCUGAAUGGGAAUAGCAUUUUUCUCUGGCAUGAAGGGAUUUAAAUCAUUCUUAUAUAAAAUAAUGUACGGUUCCUUACCCUACCAUACCACCAACACCCCCGUGCUUUCCUCUUUGUCUAUGGUAAGUGUUUUUCUUCUCUUCUUUUUGUUCUAUUUUGUGUGUGGUUCAGGCAUUUCCAUCCGUCUCUCCCAGUGUGUCAGAUAGCUUAUCAGACUGGUGUUGGCUGUUACAUUGCAUGGCGACAACAGUCUGUAGGCUGUCUGACAUUUUGGGCUCUUUCAUCUAAAAUUGUGUCUUAUAGUCUUAGUUUGUUGUUGCUGCCAUUUUUUCAUGACUUCUCCUGCUCUAAUGGAAGAAAGGUCUAUAUGGAGAGAACAGUGUAUGGAUCUCUUACUCCUCUUUUACAACAGGUAGAUUCCUAAUGUAAAACAAUCAAAAAACAAAGUGAUUAUCACCUUUGAUUUCUACACCUCUGCUCAGAAAUGUAUUGCUUGCUUCCCAGAAGGAGGCUGUGUGUGCGUGCGUGCAUCUUUGUGUGUACAGCGUGUAUGUUUCUGGGGCUGGCCUAAAUCUACUUACAUUUCUUCAGAAUCCAGAAAGAACACACCUUAUUGCAACACACACUAUUAUGACACAGUUCUGUACUUCCCCCUCCUCUCUGGAACCAUGCCUGUGUUGCUCAACAUUUUUUUUCUCUCAGAGUCUCAUGACUGUGUUUAUUUGUUCAUCCAUUGUUUCUGCCCGCAAUUUUUAUUUGAGUCGAGUCAUGGCUUGACCAAUUAAUGCUUAUUCUGCCCCCGUUAAAAUGCAGGGCCAAGCCGACUUACCUUUUGUAGGAUGACUUGUUUUUUUCCACAGACUUAUGAUGAAGAGGCUUUUUUUGUGACUCUGGGACGUCUGGUUGGCUUGCAGACUCAGGGAGUAUGUUUCCUUACUAGUGUUCUGAACAUCCUGUUCUUAAGUGGAUCUCUCCUCUUAAAAAAAUGCUGUUUUCUGUAUGACAUUUGUGUAUUAUGUAUUUGUGUGUGCUUAUGUAAAUGUAAAAAAAAAAGUGUAAAUAUAAUGUGUUUCCUUGUAUGUUUAUUUAUUUUUGUCCAAUAAAUCACUCACAUAGACCCCAUUAACAA